Molecule: long non-coding RNA, 176 nt
Organism: Phyllostomus discolor (pale spear-nosed bat)
Lineage: Eukaryota; Metazoa; Chordata; Mammalia; Chiroptera; Phyllostomidae
Exons: 4
Source: RefSeq, a predicted model, not a curated record
CUCCAACAAAUGAGGUUACAGAGAUAGGUCUUCAAAGCCAACAGAUAAACCCAAUUCAAGCCUCUCUGUCUCUCAGCCCUAUUAACCUAUAAGAUAGUAUCACAGAUUUGCCACCCUAACUCUCACAGAUCUACAAUUAUUCUUGACUUAUGAAAAGCCUCGGGGGAGCAAGGGAU